ACGCACGCUGGCGGCAGGCUUAACACAUGCAAGUCGAGCGAGACCUUCGGGUCUAGCGGCGGACGGGUGAGUAACGCGUGGGAACGUGCCCUUCUCUACGGAAUAGCCCCGGGAAACUGGGAGUAAUACCGUAUACGCCCUUUGGGGGAAAGAUUUAUCGGAGAAGGAUCGGCCCGCGUUGGAUUAGGUAGUUGGUGGGGUAAUGGCCCACCAAGCCGACGAUCCAUAGCUGGUUUGAGAGGAUGAUCAGCCACACUGGGACUGAGACACGGCCCAGACUCCUACGGGAGGCAGCAGUGGGGAAUCUUAGACAAUGGGGGCAACCCUGAUCUAGCCAUGCCGCGUGAGUGAUGAAGGCCUUAGGGUUGUAAAGCUCUUUCAGCUGGGAAGAUAAUGACGGUACCAGCAGAAGAAGCCCCGGCUAACUCCGUG
This 432-nucleotide ribosomal RNA is filed under the name uncultured bacterium. RNAcentral's name for it is "partial 16S ribosomal RNA". It matches the Rfam family "Bacterial small subunit ribosomal RNA", at positions 29 to 507 of the family's 1533-position model. The record is from RNAcentral.